This 301-nucleotide ribosomal RNA is filed under the name uncultured bacterium. RNAcentral describes it as "partial 16S ribosomal RNA". It matches the Rfam family "Bacterial small subunit ribosomal RNA", at positions 509 to 809 of the family's 1533-position model. The record is from RNAcentral.
CAGCCGCCGCGGGAAUACGUAGGGUGCGAGCGUUAAUCGGAAUUACUGGGCGUAAAGCGUGCGCAGGCGGUUAUAUAAGACAGAUGUGAAAUCCCCGGGCUCAACCUGGGACCUGCAUUUGUGACUGUAUAGCUAAAGUACGGUAGAGGGGGAUGGAAUUCCGCGUGUAGCAGUGAAAUGCGUAGAUAUGCGGAGGAACACCGAUGGCGAAGGCAAUCCCCUGGACCUGUACUGACGCUCAUGCACGAAAGCGUGGGGAGCAAACAGGAUUAGAUACCCCAGUAGUCCCUGUCUCUUAUCC